AAGACCUUGCGCUUUUGGAGCGGCCGAMGCCUGAUUAGCUUGUUGGUAAGGUAAAAGCUUACCAAGGCUUCGAUCAGUAGCUGGUCUGAGAGGACGGCCAGCCACACUGGGACUGAGACACGGCCCAGACUCCUACGGGAGGCAGCAGUGGGGAAUUUUGGACAAUGGGGGCAACCCUGAUCCAGCCAUGCCGCGUGAGUGAAGAAGGCCUUCGGGUUGUAAAGCUCUUUCAGCCGGAACGAAACGGUUACGGUUAAUACCCGUGACUACUGACGGUACCGGAAGAAGAAGCACCGGCUAACUACGUGCCAGCAGCCGCGGUAAUACGUAGGGUGCAAGCGUUAAUCGGAAUUACUGGGCGUAAAGCGUGCGCAGGUGGUUUUGUAAGUCAGAUGUGAAAUCCCCGGGCUUAACCUGGGAACU
RNAcentral lists this ribosomal RNA (423 nucleotides) under uncultured bacterium. Its description in RNAcentral is "bacterial SSU rRNA". It matches the Rfam family "Bacterial small subunit ribosomal RNA", at positions 207 to 622 of the family's 1533-position model. The record is from RNAcentral.